RNAcentral lists this ribosomal RNA (1197 nucleotides) under Triticum aestivum (bread wheat). RNAcentral's name for it is "partial small subunit ribosomal RNA". The record is from RNAcentral. Lineage: Eukaryota; Viridiplantae; Streptophyta; Magnoliopsida; Poales; Poaceae.
AUGGACCCCACCACGGAGGCCGCACACUCAGCGGCGAUAGAGCCGAAUACUGACUUCACCUCCUACGAGACUCGUGUUACCGAACCGUUGGAUUCGUCCUCGGCCAUGGACUCCGAGCCGCCUGCGUCCGCGCCCAUCGAAUCCGAUUGGGCACCGAUCAUGGAGUUUACCUCCGCGGAUAUCUUUCAGCACUCGCCCUUUGGCGACGUAUUAAACUCGUUGAGGUCUCUCCCCUUGUCAGGAGACCCUUGGCCGAACUAUGUCCGGCUAGAAUGGGAUGCGGCCGAUGAAGAAAUUCGCUCCCCACCCACCACCCACUUAGUAGCCACUGUCGAUGAUUUAAUCGACAUGCUCGACUUCGGUUCCGAAGACAUCGACGGUCUGGACGACGAUGUAGGAGAUGAACAAGAACCACCACCCACAGGGCGCUGGACUGCCACCUCAUCGUAUGAUAUAUACAUGGUGGACACCCCCAAAGAAGGCGAUGACGAUAAGACAACGGAGGAUAAUCCCUCCAAGAAGCAAUCUAAGCACCGACGUCAGCGGCGCCGCUCUAAGUCCCGCCAUAGCAAAAGUAGCGAUACCGGCACAAGAGACAAUAACGCUCUAGAUAGUGCUGAAGACGACGACAAUCCCCUCCAGCCAGACCUCGAGCGGGAGGAUGAACAAGCUAGCCCUCCGGAACAGGCAGCAAAUGGAGAAUCAGAGGAUGACAAUUAUAUGCCUCUCUCCGAAGACGAAGUGAGCCUCGGUGACGAAGAAUUUAUCGUGCCUGAGGAUCCCGUCGAGCAGGAGCGCUUCAAGCGCCGGCUUAUAGCCACAGCAAACAGCCUGAAGAAAAAGCAACAACAGCUUCGAGCUGAUCAAGAUCUGCUAGCGGACAGAUGGACUGAAGUCCUGGCAGCCGAGGAAUACGAACUCGAGCGCCCAACCAAGAGUUACCCAAAGUGCAGGUUGCUACCUCAACUCAAGGAGGAAGCAUUGAAACCUACAUCACCAGCGUAUGAUGCGACUGAUCGGCCACCUCGUGGCCGAGACAGAGAGGCAUAUCAGCCCGAAGUCCAGCCCGCACCCCGCCGCCAUUCAAAAAAAUACCAAGGCCCGGGGCAAUACGCGGGACCUGCGAGACGUAUUGGAAAACAAAACAAAACAUGCAAGGUCGAUCUACGGAUCACGGGGUCGCGCCCCAACACGUGA